AGAGUUUGAUCCUGGCUCAGAUUGAACGCUGGCGGCAUGCCUAACACAUGCAAGUCGAGCGGCAGCAUGAUGUGUAGCAAUACACAUUGAUGGCGAGCGGCGGACGGGUGAGUAAUGUAUGGGGAUCUGCCCAGUAGCGGGGGACAACCCGGAGAAAUCCGGGCUAAUACCGCAUACGCCCUACGGGGGAAAGCGGAGGACCGAAAGGCUUCGCACUAUUGGAGGAACCCAUACCCGAUUAGCUAGUUGGUGAGGUAACGGCUCACCAAGGCAAUGAUCGGUAGCUGGUCUGAGAGGAUGGCCAGCCACACUGGAACUGAGACACGGUCCAGACUCCUACGGGAGGCAGCAGUGGGGAAUCUUGCGCAAUGGGCGAAAGCCUGACGCAGCGACGCCGCGUGGGGGAUGAAGGCCCUAGGGUUGUAAAGUCCUUUCGACGGGGAAGAUAAUGACGGUACCCGUAGAAGAAGCCCCGGCUAACUUCGUGCCAGCAGCCGCGGUAAUACGAAGGGGGCUAGCGUUGCUCGGAAUCACUGGGCGUAAAGCGCACGUAGGCGGCUUUUUAAGUCAGAGGUGAAAUCCUGGAGCUCAACUCCAGAACUGCCUUUGAUACUGGAAGGCUUGAGUCCGGGAGAGGUGAGUGGAACUGCGAGUGUAGAGGUGAAAUUCGUAGAUAUUCGCAAGAACACCAGUGGCGAAGGCGGCUCACUGGCCCGGUACUGACGCUGAGGUGCGAAAGCGUGGGGAGCAAACAGGAUUAGAUACCCUGGUAGUCCACGCCGUAAACGAUGGAUGCUAGCCGUUGUCGGGUUUACUCGUCAGUGGCGCAGCUAACGCAUUAAGCAUCCCGCCUGGGGAGUACGGUCGCAAGAUUAAAACUCAAAGGAAUUGACG
This 894-nucleotide ribosomal RNA is filed under the name uncultured bacterium. RNAcentral describes it as "bacterial SSU rRNA". It matches the Rfam family "Bacterial small subunit ribosomal RNA", at positions 8 to 915 of the family's 1533-position model. The record is from RNAcentral.